RNAcentral lists this long non-coding RNA (2429 nucleotides) under Homo sapiens (human). Its description in RNAcentral is "HSALNT0333148". Lineage: Eukaryota; Metazoa; Chordata; Mammalia; Primates; Hominidae. The record is from RNAcentral.
UCUGCUCCGGGACUUGGAACAAAAGGGGGAACUCUGAUGAACUCUCUUUCCUCCCCUCUCCCCCGGACGCCGGGGUAUCUCCCUCUCGCAACUUUGCCGCCCCGACUUUCUCUGCUGUCAGGCCGGGAAAAAGUGUCCGAACGCCUCGUGGACUGCAGCGGGGGAAAUGUCCCUUAAAAGUGCGACGAAGUGGGGAAGAAGGUGUAAUUACUAUUAUCAGCAUCUAGAAAGCAUCAUGAAUUUGCUGGAGUACUUCCUAGCACUGACCUCCUUCAUUCUGCGUUGUUCUUACUGGAUCUUUCCAUCAGCCAACAAUAUGGAAGUACCAAUACAAGGUCAAAUCAUUCCUGGAUUCAUCUGGAGUUGCUUAAAAGUUAAAUCAUUGGAAUUUUUGAUGAUACCUUUUCUAUAUGGAUUACAAUUUGAUCGCUGGGAAUUCUCCACCUUAAAGAAGAAUCUCGAAGUCUUGGAGUCUCACUCUGUUGCCCAGGCUGGAGUACAGUGGCGUAAUCUUGGAUCACUGCAACCUCUGCCUCCCGGGUUCAAGUGAUUCUUCUACCUCAGCCUCCUAAGUAGCUGGGAUUACAGGUGUGUUCCACUACGUCUAGCUAAUUCUUGUAUUUUUAGUAUUGACAGGGUUUCACUAUGUUUGUCAGGCUAGUCGUGAACUCCUGACCUUGUGAUCCGCCAGGCCUCCCAAAGUGCUGGGAUUACAGACAUGAGCCACCACACCCGGCCAAAAUGGGGAAGGCAGUUACCAACCCCUGUGGACAGGAAUCGCUUUUGAAGGUAGGGCUGAGGUGAUCAUCAACCAAGUUGUAAAGAUCAAAACUGACCAGCCUGCCGGAGACUACCUAACCCUGUUCCUGUUUCUGCCGUAUCAAGUGAGGACUUUCUGUUCCCUCUGGCGAUGCUACUCUGUGUGACUCAUGAUUCCACGUAGGCUUGAAGGAAUGGUCUUUAUUCAGUGCCUGUUAGGUGUGAAGCAAGGUAUUAGAAAUUGUAUAUACAUUAUCACAUUGAUGUAUCACAAUCAUCUGCUGGAGGUGGUAUUAUCCCUAAUUUUUAGACAAAAAAAGUGAGAUUCUGAGAGGGAAAGUGUAGUCUCCAAGCUCACACGUGUAGCAGUUCAGAGAAUUCAAACCCAGAUCUCUGUUUUUGAACUCCUUGACCUUGUCUUUAUAAUGUCAUUGCCUCAAAUUUUGUAUCCACCCAAGCUAAAUGGAAGGAAGAAUUUAGUACCUUAGACUUGGUAUAUUGUUUUUCAGGGGAAAUAAGUAUAAGAAAUAGGAUUUCGUUUGGCAUGGAGUAUUUCAUUCAUAUAUGAGAUUUUUAGUGGGAACCCACUUGGUGCUAGACGUUGUUUGUAGGCAUUGGUGAGCCAUAUCUCUGUGCAAGACAGGCGUAGUCCUUGCUCUCAGGGAAUAAUAAAUUAUGCCAUAGCUGUGUAAACCCACUUCGUCUGCAUGCAGAAAUUUAUUUGAAACUGAAUUAAGGACAACAAUCAAGCUUUUAACUAUUUCUCUGUUACUUUCAUCACCAUCAGCUGUGGUCCGGUUUAGCGGAAGCAAAAUAGACAAAUUCAGUAAAAUGUCUUUCUGUGGAGAACUCCCAAAAUGAAUACGCUGAGCCGGGCACGGUGGCUCAUGCCUGUAUUCCCAGCACUUUGGGAGGCCGAAGCCGGCUGAUCACGAGGUCAGCAGUUCGAGACCAGCCUGGCCAACAUGGUGAAACCCCAUCUCUACUAAAAAUACAAAAAUUAGCCAGGUGUGGUGGCACGCACCUGUAAUCCCAGCUACUCGGAAGGCUGGGGCAGGAGAAUCUCUUGAACCCGGGAGGCAGAGGUUGCAGUGAACUGAGAUCGUGCCACUGAACUCCAGCCUGGGCGACAGGGUGAGACUCCGUCUCAAAAAAUAAAUAAAUAAAAAUAAAAAUAAAUACACUGAGUCUCAUGAUCUGAGAGAGUUAAUGUUCUGUAAAGUUGCUGUGAACACUGAAUUAGCAAAUACUGAACCAUUGCUCCUAGGGAAAAUACAGGGUUAGGUUCCUGAGAGCCUCUGGCUGCAAGAUUUUCAUCAAUGAACACAUAUGCUUAUUUUAUGUGUUUUAUUUAGCAUGUAUUUUAUUUAAUAUGUUUUAUUUGUAUUUUAAAAUAUAUUUACAUUUAGAUUUGAUACAUAUAUUUAAUAUAUGUGUAAUUUAAUGUAUAUUAUUGGUUCAUUAACAUUAAACUCAUGGCUAAUAGUGCUACAACUCAUGCCUAAGUGAAGCUUAGCAAACACGUGCCUUUUCUCUGCAAGGUACAUCACAGACUUCUUGCGCUUAGUAACACUAGAUAUUAAUAGCAUUUCAGCCCUCCAUCUGGGGGGCAUUGCAAACAGUGAAAUCACCAACAAAAAGCAUAAAAAUGCAAAGAACAUGGCAUUAAA